AAUCAACGCUGGCGGCGCGCUUAACACAUGCAAGUCGCACGAGAAAGGGAGCAAUCCUGAGUAUAGUGGCGCACGGGUGAGUAACACGUGGAUGAUCUACCUCCUUGUGGGGAAUAACCCUGGGAAACCGGGGCUAAUACCGCAUACGUCCGAGAGGAGAAAGCCGAAAGGCGCAGGGAGAGGAGUCCGCGGUCGAUUAGCUAGUUGGCAGGGUAAUGGCCUACCAAGGCGACGAUCGAUAGCCGGCCUGAGAGGGCACACGGCCACACUGGCACUGAAACACGGGCCAGACUCCUACGGGAGGCAGCAGUGGGGAAUCUUGCACAAUGGGGGAAACCCUGAUGCAGCGACGCCGCGUGAACGAUGAAGCCCUUCGGGGUGUAAAGUUCUUUCGACGGGGACGGAUAAUGACGGUACCCGGAGAAGAAGCUGCGGCGUAACUACGUG
Molecule: ribosomal RNA, 447 nt
Filed under: uncultured bacterium
Lineage: Bacteria
Description: bacterial SSU rRNA
Rfam family: Bacterial small subunit ribosomal RNA
Source: RNAcentral